AACGAACGCUGGCGGCAUGCCUAACACAUGCAAGUCGAACGAGACCUUCGGGUCUAGUGGCGCACGGGUGCGUAACGCGUGGGAACCUGCCCUUAGGUUCGGAAUAACUCCCCGAAAGGGGUGCUAAUACCGGAUAAUGUCUUCGGACCAAAGAUUUAUCGCCUUUGGAUGGGCCCGCGUUGGAUUAGCUAGUUGGUAGGGUAAAAGCCUACCAAGGCGAGGAUCCAUAGCUGGUCUGAGAGGAUGAUCAGCCACACUGGGACUGAGACACGGCCCAGACGUCGAAGGGAGGCAGCAGGAGGGAAGCUUCGGCAAGGGAAGAAAGUCGGAUCGAGAAACGCAGCGUGAGGGAAGAAGGGUUUCGGAUCGGAAAAAGAGGUUGGUAGAGAAGAGAGCUGGGGAGAGGGGAAAGCUCAUCAAGUGACGGUAAGUACACAGAAAGGGACGGCUAAAGACGUG
RNAcentral lists this ribosomal RNA (459 nucleotides) under uncultured bacterium. RNAcentral's name for it is "partial 16S ribosomal RNA". It matches the Rfam family "Bacterial small subunit ribosomal RNA", at positions 30 to 507 of the family's 1533-position model. The record is from RNAcentral.